UUUCUCUCGGGAUUUGCCAAUGUACUCGGUACUGGUGUUGCUCCCGAGCCGCCUGAAACACAAAAGAAAGUCUGGACUGUGAAAGCUGCAGUGAGCAAAAGAGCCACAGUUGUCCGUGAGAGAGAAAGGGCAGUUCCAAGCAGACUCCAAGAUGUCGAUAUCCGGGAAUUUAAGGGUCGCUGCUACCCUCGCCUCUUACCAUCAACACCACCCUUUUCGAAGCUCCAUCCCCUCUUCAAAGAUUUGCUCAAUUCCGUGGUUGGUGCUGAAUAAGAUUUUAGUGUCUAUUUGAGGGUUAGAGUUGGUGAUGCUACUCUGAAUCGUUUGAAUUCCAAGUUUUUAGCUGCUGUUUUCCAACCAAAUGGAGAAUUAGCUAACUGGGUUUUCCCAGUUUUUGCAGCAGCAGCUGCAGCAACAUGUAGGUAAAAUGUUUUCUGGGUUUGAUUAUCUGUCCUUUUGUCUAAUUAUUUUAUGCUUUGUCCUUCUUGGGUUUGUAAGCUUCAAUUUUGUGUGCAGAUUGCUUUGCAAGUUUCUACUUUUUCUCGAAAAUUUGCACUUCAUCAAAGUCAAAUACCUAAAUGUUCUUGUUGGCCUUGUCUUCUUUCAAUCAAUGGUCAUGACCAUGGGUUGAUCUUGUUUCCGUC
Molecule: non-coding RNA, 644 nt
Organism: Theobroma cacao (cacao)
Lineage: Eukaryota; Viridiplantae; Streptophyta; Magnoliopsida; Malvales; Malvaceae
Source: RefSeq, a predicted model, not a curated record